CCCGUCUCAGGGUCGUACCUGGAGAGUUUCGAGCACUCUACCAGUCUUGACUACGGGAGGGAGAGUCAUGCAGAGGUAUACCAAUUCCAUUCCUAGCUUAGGCAGUGGCUAGCGAGUGGAAGGCAAUCUUUUACAAGU
Small nucleolar RNA from Tachyglossus aculeatus (Australian echidna), 138 nucleotides. NCBI's taxonomy places the organism in Eukaryota, Metazoa, Chordata, Mammalia, Monotremata, Tachyglossidae. The record is from RefSeq and is a predicted model, not a curated record.